UUUUCAGCAGCCGCGGUAAGACAGAGGGGGCAAGCGUUGUCCGGAGUUACUGGGCGUAAAGCGCGCGUAGGCGGUACGGUAAGUAAGGUGUGAAAGCCCCAGGCUUAACCUGGGGAGGUCAUCUUCGACUGCCGCACUCGAGUCGUGCAGAGGGUGGUGGAAUUGCCGGUGUAGUGGUGAAAUGCGUAGAGAUCGGCAGGAACACCAAGGGCGAAAGCAGCCACCUGGGCACGUACUGACGCUGAGGUGCGAAAGCGUGGGGAGCGAACCGGAUUAGAUACCCCUGUAGUCC
Molecule: ribosomal RNA, 292 nt
Filed under: uncultured bacterium
Lineage: Bacteria
Description: partial 16S ribosomal RNA
Rfam family: Bacterial small subunit ribosomal RNA
Source: RNAcentral